UGUUUCGGCUAGGGGGUCAUCCCGACUUACCAACCCGAUGCAAACUGCGAAUACCGAAGAAUGUUAUCACGGGAGACACACGGCGGGUGCUAACGUCCGUCGUGAAGAGGGAAACAACCCAGACCGCCAGCUAAGGUCCCAAAGUCAUGGUUAAGUGGGAAACGAUGUGGGAAGGCACAGACAGCCAGGAUGUUGGCUUAGAAGCAGCCAUCAUUUAAAGAAAGCGUAAUAGCUCACUGGUCGAGUCGGCCUGCGCGGAAGAUGUAACGGGGCUAAACCAUGCACCGAAGCUGCGGCAGCGACACUAUGUGUUGUUGGGUAGGGGAGCGUUCUGUAAGCCGUUGAAGGUGUAUCGUGAGGUAUGCUGGAGGUAUCAGAAGUGCGAAUGCUGACAUAAGUAACGAUAAUGCGGGUGAAAAACCCGCACGCCGGAAGACCAAGGGUUCCUGUCCAACGUUAAUCGGGGCAGGGUGAGUCGACCCCUAAGGCGAGGCCGAAAGGCGUAGUCGAUGGGAAACAGGUUAAUAUUCCUGUACUUGGUGUUACUGCGAAGGGGGGACGGAGAAGGCUAUGUUAGCCGGGCGACGGUUGUCCCGGUUUAAGCAUGUAGGCGGAGGUUCCAGGUAAAUCCGGUACCUUUUUAACGCUGAGGUGUGAUGACGAGGCACUACGGUGCUGAAGUAACAAAUGCCCUGCUUCCAGGAAAAGCCUCUAAGCAUCAGGUAACACGAAAUCGUACCCCAAACCGACACAGGUGGUCAGGUAGAGAAUACCAAGGCGCUUGAGAGAACUCGGGUGAAGGAACUAGGCAAAAUGGUGCCGUAACUUCGGGAGAAGGCACGCUGAUAUGUAGGUGAAGUGAUUUACUCAUGGAGCUGAAAUCAGUCGAAGAUACCAGCUGGCUGCAACUGUUUAUUAAAAACACAGCACUGUGCAAACACGAAAGUGGACGUAUACGGUGUGACGCCUGCCCGGUGCCGGAAGGUUAAUUGAUGGGGUUAUCCGUAAGGAGAAGCUCUUGAUCGAAGCCCCGGUAAACGGCGGCCGUAACUAUAACGGUCCUAAGGUAGCGAAAUUCCUUGUCGGGUAAGUUCCGACCUGCACGAAUGGCGUAAUGAUGGCCAGGCUGUCUCCACCCGAGACUCAGUGAAAUUGAACUCGCUGUGAAGAUGCAGUGUACCCGCGGCAAGACGGAAAGACCCCGUGAACCUUUACUAUAGCUUGACACUGAACACUGGUCCUUGAUGUGUAGGAUAGGUGGGAGGCUUUGAAGUGUGGACGCCAGUCUGCAUGGAGCCAUCCUUGAAAUACCACCCUUUAAUGGCU
RNAcentral lists this ribosomal RNA (1326 nucleotides) under Citrobacter freundii. RNAcentral describes it as "partial 23S ribosomal RNA". It matches the Rfam family "Bacterial large subunit ribosomal RNA", at positions 911 to 2215 of the family's 2925-position model. Lineage: Bacteria; Pseudomonadati; Pseudomonadota; Gammaproteobacteria; Enterobacterales; Enterobacteriaceae. The record is from RNAcentral.